This 1344-nucleotide long non-coding RNA is filed under the name Gallus gallus (chicken). Its description in RNAcentral is "lncRNA (ENSGALG00010025142.1)". Lineage: Eukaryota; Metazoa; Chordata; Aves; Galliformes; Phasianidae. The record is from RNAcentral.
AGUCCUGUUUGUGAGUUGAGAUGGGGGCUUCCGUGGUGAGCAGUGUUGUGGUCCUCUAAGAGGGCGUGACCUGGGGCAAGACUGCUUUGUGUGUCCUAGUGAUCUGGCAGAAGAAACGGGGAGCUAAAUGAAAAUAGCUCCUUAUCAUGAAAUAGCUCCUCGUAAAAUGGGACUGUGACUGCUCCUUUCAGGUUCCUACUCCUGUGGUUAUUUUGUUACAUGCAUUUAUAAAACAAAGUUAAUGUUCCCAGUGCUGCUGUUUAAAGAGAAGCACAACUAAUGGAAGCUUGAAAUGAUGUUUUGAAAUGCAGUGGGAAUGUUGGAUUAAUAACCUUGUGACCUCUAUCACUGAAAUGCAUUCCUGUGUUUGGCAGAAAAGAAAAAGAAAGGAGAUGAACAGUUCAGAGAGUGACAGGAAACCACAGUGCUUUCUGGAGCCUCAAUUUCAGUGAUUUUUUUUUUUUUCUUUUUAAUAAGCAUUGUUUUUCCCUUCAUGUGGAACAGUGGGUGACCAUAUCCCAGUGAAGAUUUGUUAGCAGGCCAAGAUCAAGGUAGCUCAGAUAUUUGGGUGACUGCAUUUCUUCCCAUUUUAGCUGGUCUUGGUGUCAAGUUUGUUCUGAGGCAGUGUGACUAAUGAGAAACCUCUGGGGUCAGAUCUUGGGAAAACUUCACUCAUCAGCUGCAGGCAGUGGAUAAGCCUCAUGUGGGUGCAUUACUGCUGGUUUCUCUGGUUUGGGGGGCAAAAUUAUCUUUUCCUGGAGCUUGAGCUUAGAAAUGUCUGUGCUAUGAUCUUCCAUUCUCACUUGGGCCUUCAUUUAGCUAGGAAGAGGGGAGAUUGAUGCUGGUGUUCCUUAUCUGGGCCAGUCAAAUGCAAAACUUUACCAAGCGGUGGAGAUACUUUCCUAGCUGUAAUGCAGCUUCAGGAAUCCUCCACUGUUCAUAAAGUAUGUGCUAAUGUAGCAUUCAGGAUGCUCUGAGGUUUUGCUUUAGUCCCUAAAUAGCAUGGUCUGGAUGGAGCUCACUGUAGCAGUCCUUCCAGGGUCGUAGGCUCGCAUCCUCCUUGGCACUGGUAGGUCAGUUCAGAAGGAGCACUCAGUCUAGAGUAAUUCACAUCCCACUGAAUGUGCUUUUUUAGCUUUUUGUCCUUUACACAGAGACGUGGAACCAUGCCACCUUCUGAAUGAUGACUCUUGCUUUGUCUAAAUGAUAGAAGUUUUUAAAAGCAAUUGUACAGCUGCACCUCCAUUGAAGGCAUUUUAGAAACAAUGAGGUUUCUGUUUUCCUUUCUUUUGUAAAAGUUAUUGUUGUAUUACCCUCAUGUUUGCUCAGCAUCCCGUCUGUCAG